This is a small nucleolar RNA of Bison bison bison, 50 nucleotides long. The record is from Ensembl. NCBI's taxonomy places the organism in Eukaryota, Metazoa, Chordata, Mammalia, Artiodactyla, Bovidae.
AGCACCAUUUAUUGAAGAUAAUUUGAUAGGAAUCUCAUUGAAUCUGUAGA